UACAUUUAAAGAGUGCGUAAUAGCUCACUGGUCGAGUGAUUGUGCGCCGAAGAUGUCCGGGGCUAAACGUGACACCGAAGCGAUGGGUGCAUCUGAAAGGAUGCGCGGUAGAGGAGCAAUGUGCAGAGGCAGAAGCCGUAUCGAGAGGCACGGUGGACACUGCACAAGAGAGAAUGCCGGUAUGAGUAGCGAGAGGCAUGCGAGAAACAUGCCCGUCGAAAGCCCAAGGUUUCCUGGGGAAGGUUCAUCCGCCCAGGGUAAGUCGGGGCCUAAGCCGAGGACGGAAGUCGUAGGCGAUGGACAGCAGGUGUAGAUUCCUGCACUACCGAUGGAAUGGAGCAGUGACACAGAAGGAUAACUCGAGCAGGGUGAUGGUCAACCCUGUGCAGGCAUCAAGGUUGGGUUGUAGUGAAGUACGCAACCCUAUAAGCUGAGGUGUGAUGCGGACCGAAAUUUCAGUAGGGAAGCGAGUGAGUUCACGCUGGCGAGAAAAGCUGCUAGUACAUCCAAAGGUACCCGUACCGGAAACCGACGCAGGUGGGCGAGGAGAGAAUCCUGAGACGAACGGGAGAACCCUUGUUAAGGAACUCGGCAAAAUGACCCCGUAACUUCGGGAUAAGGGGUGCCUGCGAGAGCAGGCCGCAGAGAAUAGUCACAAGCGACUGUUUAGCAAAAACACAGGUAUCUGCGAAAGCGAGAGCUGACGUAUAGGUGCUGACACCUGCCCGGUGCUGGAAGGUUAAGGGAACAUGUUAGAGCAAUCGAAGCAUCGAACCGAAGCCCCAGUAAACGGCGGCCGUAACGAUAACGGUCCUAAGGUAGCGAAAUUCCUUGUCGGGUAAGUUCCGACCCGCACGAAUGGUGUAACGACUUGUGAGCUGUCUCAACAGGGGGCCCGGUGAAAUUGAAGUAUGGGUGAAGAUGCCCAUUACCCGCGACUGGACGGAAAGACCCCGUAGAGCUUUACUGCAGCCUGAUAUUGAGUUUCGGUAACUGAUGCACAGGAUAGGUGGGAGUCUGAGAGACAUGGGUUUCGGCUCAUGUGGAGACGGUGUUGGGAUACCACUCUUCGGUUACUGAAAUUCUAACAUAGCUCUGUGAAACCAGAGGAUGGACAGUGUCAGGUGGACAGUUUGACUGGGGCGGUCGCCUCCGAAAGAGUAACGGAGGCGCCCAAAGGUACCCUCAGAAUGGAUGGAAACCAUUCGAAGAGCGCAAAGGCAGAAGGGUGCCUGACUGCGAGAUUGACAAAUCGAGCAGAGACGAAAGUCGGGCUUAGUGAUCCGGCGGUAUUGAGUGGAAAAGCCGUCGCUUAACGGAUAAAAGCUACCUCCGGGAUAACAGGCUGAUCUCCCCCAAGAGUCCACAUCGACGGGGAGGUUUGGCACCUCGAUGUCGGCUCGUCGCAUCCUGGGGCUGAAGCAGGUCCCAAGGGUUUGGCUGUUCGCCAAUUAAAGCGGCACGCGAGCUGGGUUCAGAACGUCGUGAGACAGUUCGGUCCCUAUCCAUCGUGGGCGUAGGAGUCAUGAGAGGAGCUGUUCCUAGUACGAGAGGACCGGAAUGGACGCACCACUGGUGCAACUGUUGUCGUGCCAACGGCAUAGCAGGGAAGCGAAGUGCGGAUGGGAUAAACGCUGAAGGCAUCUAAGCGUGAAGCCCACCUCAAGAAUAAGACUCCACAAUAGACCCCUGGAGGACUACCAGGUAGAUAGGUCAUCGGUGGAAGCGCUGUAAGGCGUGUAGCUUGAUGAUACUAAUCGGUCGAAAGCUUCAUU
This 1775-nucleotide ribosomal RNA is filed under the name metagenome. RNAcentral's name for it is "bacterial LSU rRNA". It matches the Rfam family "Bacterial large subunit ribosomal RNA", at positions 1118 to 2925 of the family's 2925-position model. The record is from RNAcentral.